AAUUAUUGAUAUACUAUAUAAAAACUGCAGUUUUUCAACAGUAUUCUAGUAAUUUUUUCGUAUUCUUGUAGUUUUUUUCCAUAAGGGUCGUUGGAAAAAAUGUAAGAAAACAUUAGACAAUCUGAAGAAUUUUAUAUAAUUUCACAUGCGAGCAUUCUGAGAAAUUAUGAAAUUUCUUAUUUCAUAUUUCUUUGGAAAGUUGAGAAAAAAUAUUAGAUAAAUUGAAAAAUUUUUCAUAAUUUCUAAUAGGAUCGUUCUGAUCGAGACAUUAUAUUUUAUGUUUUGGUGAAAAAAUUUGAAAACAAUUUCUCAUAAGUUUACAUAAUUACUUAUGAAUUUGUGACAAGAGAAAUUAUGAAAAAUUUUAUAAAAAAUUAUGAAAAAAGUUUUUAUCAGGGAAAACUGCAUACUUCGUUAUAUUACAAAAAAUCUGAGAAAAAUUUUUACCAAGUGUUUGUACAUUUAACUCGGUCCUGUAACCGAGCAUCUAACAUCUAUGGAGUGUUUAGUGAACUACAAAUGCAAGUCGGUAGGUCAACUCCUACGGUAAAACGUGAGGACAACCAUUAAUGGACAUCCUGUGUGUGUGUGUGUGUGUGUGUGUGUGUGUGUGUGUGUGUGUGUGUGUGUGUGUGUGCGUGUGUGUGUGUGCAUAGUCAUUAAUAAUGACUGUUUCUACUUUAACCAAACUUAAACCAAACCACCCUACAAUGAGGAAACAGAUACUGCAACCGCGGAGAGCAACUCCUUAAACGACGCAUACAGUACUGCAACCGACGACGACUGCAACAAAAUCGCUCGUCACAGCAGAUUAAAGAAGAACAUGAAAAUAUACAACCUAUAAAACAAGAAUUACUCCCAUGGCCUCUCCUAAUAAAGAAAAAAAGAACAAAUAUACCCCCAUCGACUUCCCCCGGUAAAGAAUACGACGUUUAUCCCAUAGAAGACUUUGAAUCCAAAGGUUUCUAUAGAGAGACCAUCGACCAGUGUCUUCUCGAUCUUGCCGAAUUAGAAGAAUCAUCAAAAAUAAAUAACAAAACCCCUGCGGUGCAACCCUUAAUUACAUUCCCUGAAAUAAAAUCUUGUACUCCAGUAGACUUCUCAGAAGUAGAUCCUGCAUUACUUUACCACCCCAUAGUUUCAACCUCUUUCUACUGUUGCAUCCCCACUAACACUCGAGCUCCCCAAACUAGAUUUAGAGAUAGAGAAUAUAUUAAAGAACGCCCCACUCCCAGGUCAGUACGUCAAGUAGUGGCAUCGUCAUUAAUGUGCGAUUCGAGAGCGACAAAGAGACAUCAUCAACGAAGAACGGCCUCCGUGGAGCAAUUCGCUGUUAAUCGCACGGUGCCCUUCAUACCAUCUACGAGAACGUUUGCUAAUUUUGACUGAAUGUUGGUGAUACCGACAACAUUGUUAGAUAAAUCUUUCUAGGCAGUGAUGAUGCACUAAACGGUAUAAUCUGCAAAUAAAACCAGCUAAUUACUUUGAGGAUUAGACAAGAACUCGGGACGAUACGAUACGACCAUGCUGUCAACGAGAGAAAACUGAUAUUGAGAACAAAGAAAGGCCAUCCCGGCAACCCGGCUUCCACCGCCCCUUCUUCUUGUGGGGCCUGGAUAUCAGACUACAAGGGAGUCUUAGUACCAAUGAUUUACUGCUUCCUUUGUUGGAUCCUGGCCAGCCACCGCCCCUGAGUGCGGUGUUGGAUGGUCUAGGACAAUUGCCUUUGUCCCUCCGAUCGUUUGUGCGCUCUGUCGAAAUCAUCCACAGCCUACGAUUGGCUAAUAUGUGAUUACGCACAAGCGACCGGAGGGGUAAAAUCGUGGUGGGAAUAAACAUGGGGUGUUCAGUUUACGAGCGUCUUUUUCUAAAUUCUUUGCCCUCUCGCCGCGUCACAGGCUUUUGCAUAGCUGCAUAACCGUAUGCAUAAGGAAAUUGAUUGGUCUAUUUCCUUAUGCAUGUGCUAACGGACCAAUCAACUUCUUUAUGCAUACGGUUAUGCAGCUAUGCAAAAGCCUGUGCUGCGGCCUUUAGCCGAGUAUUAUUCUACAAAUCGAUUAUGAUUGGCCAACUUCUUACGGUUACGACCUGCAUAAACCAGGCUUAAUCAAUCCCUAGAGAACUCAGGAGGAUCAAGAAGAAAAAGGACAAAAGAGUACACAAGUUUCGCUUCUAACGGCACUGACAUACGCAUACAACUUAUAUCAACACUUACAUCUUUAUGUAAAUUUUUUAUUUUAGGAAAUAUGAUUGAGUUUAUUUUAAAAUGUCACAAAAUAAAACUUUCCUCUAUAGAUACGUUAAGAAAUUAAUAGAAGAUUAAAAUAUACAUGCAUAGAAGAUUGCUUUCCGAUAACAAUAAUUAUCAAAAAGCUUUCUUCUAAUAAUAAGUCAAUUUAUCUUAUAUACCCAUAUAUAUGUAUUAAGUGUUAUGGAUACUACUGUAUAUGAUGCAUUACAUACUGAAUAAAAUGACUGCAACGCUAA
Solenopsis invicta (red fire ant) is the source of this 2487-nucleotide RNA transcript. RefSeq lists it as uncharacterized. The transcript has 3 exons. NCBI's taxonomy places the organism in Eukaryota, Metazoa, Arthropoda, Insecta, Hymenoptera, Formicidae. The record is from RefSeq and is a predicted model, not a curated record.